RNAcentral lists this long non-coding RNA (1819 nucleotides) under Heterocephalus glaber (naked mole-rat). RNAcentral describes it as "lncRNA (ENSHGLG00000047041.1)". Lineage: Eukaryota; Metazoa; Chordata; Mammalia; Rodentia; Bathyergidae. The record is from RNAcentral.
AGAAGCACUAGCAAAUAAUUAUACUGGCACAGUGUUUGGUGCCAGGUAAUAAAUACUUGAUAAAUGAAUGAAAUAAGAAAAAUGAACAAAACAUACAGAAGCUCUAGAAUGGCAAUGCCUACGUACUAAGGUGAUAAUCUUGGUAAUAAUAUUGUUAUUGACUAUAGAUCUCUAAUUAAGCAGCAUUUAUUAAAGUUUUCAAUGUUUUUGUUACUCUUUUGGAAAUAUAAAAGAGCCUUUUCUUCUAAAACUCUGUGGCUCUUGGGGAUGGGGUGUGGGCUGGGAUUGUUCUCGCAGCUCCGCCCUCCUCAGCAGCUGGGGAGAGCAGUUGCUCCGGGGCUGUGGGAGCCACCGUUCUCUCCUGGUCACUACAUCCACGUCUGCCCCAGAGUCAGUCACUUUUUCUCCCAGUCGCAGGGUUUUCACGUGCCAAUGGGAGUUUGGAAUAAAGUCUUUCUAAAGACUCCUUGUAGAGCUGACAUCUUAUUACUUUGCUUUGGGGAUUGAACUCUGGACCUUGCGCUUUUGAGGCACGUGGCGAAACCACUGAGCUAAAUCCCCGGCCCUGGUAAAUACAACACAACUUUGAAGCACUCAUCAUGAGGAUGGAGUGAUAAGAAAAGUAAAGAAACAGCUGCAAUAAAAAGCAAUGUCAAAUAAGCCCCAAAGAGAGGAAGGAACAGACUGCCAGAAUUUUUGUGAUGAGAAGAUGUGAUCAAGAGACAUCAGUCCAGGAUCUAAACCAUGGUGGAAAUGAAGAGCAGAACAUAGUGACACAUGCUGGCCUUGUCCUGAAACCUGAUGUCCACUACUCCCACUGCUCUGAAAGAGAGAAGAUUUAAAGUCACCUUUGAUGCUCCAAGAGUAGAUCAUAGGUAUCCCAGGCCUCUGCAGGGCCUGGAAGUAGCUUGUCCUACCCUUAGAGAGCUUUUCUAACUGACUUUUUCUGACAGUGAUUUGUCAGAUGUGUAGUGAAUUCUGCAAGUCCGGGCCCCAAAGAAGUAAAAGAGUAAUUGAAGUGGAUUAACUGAUGGUCAACUUGUAACGCCCAGCUGAACUGAAUCAGCAUGGUCUGGGCGUGGAAGAUCCAUCUGAGGAUUGUUGUCAACAGCCACAAAAAGAGAACUGGAGGGAAAGAUCAUGGGUGUUGACUUUCUAGGAGAAGCCUGCUGUGAUUUUUCUGACACCAACUAGGCUGUUCAUGUCAGAGGAGGAAGUUGGGGACUUGCUGUCCCUGGGAAUGGCUGCUGUUUUUGUCAGGGGAGCUCUGAUCUUCACCGUGAGCGUCACUUCCUGACUCCAAUGUGGAUCCCUCAGCUUGGUGGCUCAAAUCCUUCAUCUCACCAACGUAGGUUUUCUGGCUUCCACCACUGGCCUUUGGACCUCCAGGUGCAGAUUCUCAAUAUGGACAAGAAUAAGACAUUGCUGUGGGCUCUAGGCCACUGGCUGGACUCAUGGCGAACAUUGCCUUGGACUCUAACCCUUUAGCUGGACUUGUGUCCAUUGCUGGGAUCCAGGCUGGAUUCUUUGGGGCCCUAGUGUGCAGUUAAUCUCUUGCACUCCUUUGCAUUUGACUUUUGGGUGAUUAUUAUAAAAUAAUCCUAUAAAUUAGGUGUCCCAGUAAGUGUAUUCUCUUGCCAAAACCCUGACUACAAUAGUAAUCGAAUGAAGUUGACUUGAUCUUGGGGCUCAGAGCCUUGAGAUGCCUGGUGAUCUCAAACCUCUGACACAGGGCUUCCCUUGCUCCAUCCUGUCACCCCUAGUCCCCAUGAAAGCCGCUUUUCACUGGCCUUUUUUCACCUUUUUUCACCUUGCCCGG